UCUCUGUUUUACCAAGUAUUUGUUGUUUCACCAGUAUCAUUUGAAUGAAUAUACUUAGGUGUCCAUUUGAAUGCCUGCUGGUAAGGUGAAUGACUAGUGUUUUAUUUGUUGUUUCACCAGUAUAAUUUGAAUGAAUAUACUUAGGUGUCCAUUUGAAUGCCUGCUGGUAAGGUGAAUGACUAGUGUUUUAUUUGUUUUUUCACCAGUAUAAUUUGAAUGAAUAUACUUAGGUGUCCAUUUUAAUGCCUGCUGGUAAGGUGAAUGACUAGUGUUUUAUUUGUUUUUUUCACCAGUAUAAUUUGAAUGAAUAUACUUAGGUGUCCAUUUGAAUGCCUGGUGGUAAGGUGAAUGACUAGGGUUUUAUUCGUUGUUUCGCCAGUAUCAUUUGAAUGAAUUUACUUAGGUGUCCAUUUGAAUGCCUGCUGGUAAGGUGAAUGACUUGUGUUUUACUGGUUGCAUUUGGGUGCCACUCUGUGGGAUCCGCCUGGCAGCAGAGUUGGCAUUCUGCCUGUGUGAGGGUAGGAUUUCAUUAGGGCAGUCGAAGGACAACACCAGUCUUCCCCAGACCUGUCUCACUGUACACAGUGCAUAGGGCAUGUGUGU
Molecule: long non-coding RNA, 603 nt
Organism: Clupea harengus (Atlantic herring)
Lineage: Eukaryota; Metazoa; Chordata; Actinopteri; Clupeiformes; Clupeidae
Source: Ensembl